This 368-nucleotide ribosomal RNA is filed under the name uncultured bacterium. RNAcentral's name for it is "bacterial SSU rRNA". It matches the Rfam family "Bacterial small subunit ribosomal RNA", at positions 29 to 420 of the family's 1533-position model. The record is from RNAcentral.
AGCGAACGCUGGCGGCAGGCCUAACACAUGCAAGUCGAACGGUCCUUCGGGACAGUGGCGGACGGGUGAGUAACACGUGGGAACGUGCCUUUAGGUUCGGGACAACCCAGGGAAACUUGGGCUAAUACCGAAUGUGCCCUUCGGGGGAAAGGAUUUAUCGCCUUUAGAGCGGCCCGCGUCUGAUUAGCUUGUUGGUGAGGUAAUGGCUCACCAAGGCGACGAUCAGUAGCUGGUCUGAGAGGAUGAUCAGCCACACUGGGACGUGAGACACGGCCCACGACUCCUACGGGAGGCGAGCAGUGGGGAAGUCUUGCGCAAUGGGCGAAAGACCUGACGCAGCCAUGCCGCGCGGAUGAUGAAGGUCUUAG